Molecule: non-coding RNA, 279 nt
Organism: Pelobates cultripes (western spadefoot toad)
Lineage: Eukaryota; Metazoa; Chordata; Amphibia; Anura; Pelobatidae
Source: the annotation of a GenBank genome assembly
CUCAGAUAUUUUACUGUUUAGUAAAUCCCCUUUAAUAAAAAAAUGAAAAUAAAUCAAACGUUGUUAAUGUCAAAGCCAUCUGCAUCUUCUCCCGGUACUAAAUGUUCCAAAAACCACUCCUAGCAUCAGGGUCAACAAGUAAAUUCAGGCUUUGUGUUAAUACAAUAACUUAACAGUCUAUUCAUAUGUGCAGUUAAGUAAUUGAUGAUUGCAUAUUUUUGUGUUUUUUUAUAUAUAUAACAGAAUUGAGCUGCUCCACGAAAUACAAGUGGACAAAGG